This 33930-nucleotide long non-coding RNA is filed under the name Solanum lycopersicum (tomato). RNAcentral's name for it is "long non-coding RNA (SLYC_LNC000581)". The record is from RNAcentral. Lineage: Eukaryota; Viridiplantae; Streptophyta; Magnoliopsida; Solanales; Solanaceae.
UUUAGAUAGCUAUUACCUUUCUUUUUUGCCUAAAACUACUACCACAAUUAGUUCGAGUGGAAAUGAAGAGGCUGCUACCAUGAUCUAUUCCUAUCACAAUGUGAUGACAGGGUUUGCAGCAAGAUUAACGGCAGAACAAGUGAAGGAAAUGGAGAAGAAACACGGCUUUGUCUCUGCUCAGAAACAGAGGAUUUUGUCCUUGCACACUACUCAUACUCCAAGUUUUCUUGGUUUGCAACAGAACAUGGGCUUGUGGAAGGAUUCCAACUAUGGGAAAGGCGUGAUCAUUGGAGUUAUAGACACUGGAAUCGUUCCUGACCAUCCUUCACUUAGCGACGUUGGGAUGCCUUCCCCACCUGCUAAGUGGAAGGGAGUUUGCGAGUCCAAUUUCACAAACAAGUGUAACAACAAGCUCAUUGGAGCGAGGUCUUACCAACUUGCCAAUGGUUCCCCGAUAGACGAUGAUGGACAUGGUACACACACAGCAAGCACAGCUGCAGGAGCCUUUGUGAAAGGUGCUAAUGUAUUUGGGAAUGCUAAUGGCACUGCUGUUGGUGUUGCCCCUCUUGCCCACAUAGCCAUAUAUAAGGUGUGUAGUUCUGAUGGUUGUUCUGACAGUGAUAUUUUAGCUGCCAUGGAUGCAGCUAUAGAUGAUGGUGUAGAUAUUCUUUCAAUCUCUCUUGGUGGAAGUCCAAUCCCUCUCUAUGAAGACAGUAUUGCUAUGGGGGCAUACAGUGCAACAGAAAGAGGCAUUCUUGUUAGUUGCUCAGCAGGCAAUGAUGGUCCAUUCCAUGGCUCAGUAGAUAACUCAGCCCCUUGGAUUCUUACAGUAGGUGCCAGCACCCUUGACAGAAAGAUAAAAGCUACUGUUAAGCUUGGAAAUAGAGAGGAAUUUCAAGGAGAAUCUGCUUAUCGUCCACAGAUUUCCAACUCAACCUUCUUCACAUUAUUUGAUGCUGCAAAAAAUGCAAGUGAUGAAUUUAAAACCCCUUAUUGCAGACCAGGGUCGCUCACUGACCCUGCCAUAAGAGGAAAGAUAGUGUUAUGUUUAGCAUUCGGUGGUGUAACCAUUGUUGAUAAAGGACAAGCUGUGAAGGAUGCUGGAGGUGUUGGCAUGAUUAUCAUCAACAGUCCAGAUGACGGUGUUACUAAAUCAGCUGAUGCUCAUGUUCUUCCAGCAUUGGAUGUUUCAGAUGCAGAUGGAACAAAAAUCCUUGCUUAUAUGAAUUCAACAUCAAACCCUGUUGCUACAAUCGCAUUCCAAGGAACAAUAAUUGGAGAUAAAAAUGCUCCUAUGGUUGCUGCAUUUUCCUCAAGAGGACCAAGUAGAGCUAGUCCUGGCAUCUUGAAACCUGACAUAAUCGGUCCUGGUGUUAAUAUCCUUGCUGCUUGGCCUACCUCCGUGGAUGACAACAAGGACACCAAAUCCACAUUCAAUAUUAUAUCAGGCACCUCAAUGUCUUGCCCUCACCUUAGUGGCGUAGCAGCUCUGCUGAAGAGCACACAUCCUGAUUGGUCUCCUGCAGCUAUUAAGUCUGCAAUCAUGACAACUGCUGACACGUUAAACCUUGCCAAUAGUCCAAUACUAGACGAAAGGCUCCUUCCUGCUGACAUUUUUGCCACUGGUGCAGGACAUGUUAAUCCAUCGAGGGCAAAUGAUCCAGGACUAGUUUAUGAUAUCCCAUUUGAGGACUAUCUACCUUAUUUAUGUGGUUUGAACUAUACGAAUCGACAGGUAGGUAACCUGUUACAACGCAGGGUGAAUUGCUCGGAGGUGAAAAUUAUCCUUGAAGCACAAUUAAACUAUCCUUCAUUUUGCAUAACUGAACUUGGAUCAACUCCUCAGACAUAUACAAGAACUGUGACCAACGUUGGUGACGCUACAUCAUCUUACAAAGUGGAGGUAGCUUCACCAAAAGGCGUUGCCGUGGAAGUUAAGCCCACAGAGCUAAAUUUCUCCGAGUUGAACCAGAAGUUAACAUACCAAGUGACAUUUUCCAAGACAACUAGCAGCUCAAACUUUGUGAUUGUUGAUGGAUUCUUGAAAUGGACUUCUAGUAGACACUCAGUGAGAAGUCCAAUUGCAGUUGUGUUAGCCUAGUCAAAAAUUGGCUUUACGAGUGCAUAAACUACUCAUACAUUUUAUUUUACUGAAAAUACUGUUUGUUUAUCGUUAUUUACUUCAUGUGAGUAAUUUGGGUACAUGUGAAAAAGUUUCGUAAUGGUGAAGAUAUGAAUGACCGCAUAGUAUAACGAUAACACUAUUAAAUGAAAGUUAAGAAAAAAAUAUUUUUGACUCUUUUACCAACUUAGAAGUAGGACAACAAAAACAAGUCCUACGAGUUCCCUAGAAAAGACAUUAGACCACGCUCGGUUUCGUUUACGAAAUUAAUGUCAAUCCAAACCAAAUUAAAAUAAAUUUAGUUUGGUUCUGUUUGAUUAGAUUAUCAAUUUUUGAGUCUAUAUUAAGUGUUAUUGAACAAGUUUACCUCCAAUUCAACUUCUAUCUUCGAAAUGUGAGAGUUUAUUAUUUAGGGUUCAAUUUUCAGUCAUGAGAGUUUCAAUUUAGGGUUUCAGAAUUGGGAAUUACGUAAUUCAUAAGUGUAGGAGCUACAGCGGGUCACUCUCAAAUGCCAAAUUGGGUCAAUUUUUAAUGGGCUAUUGACAUUGGAUAGGCUGGGCUGUCAGUGUAGUGUAGUGCUAAAAUUCGUGUAUUCGGUUAUAUCGAAUUAAUUUUGUUAAAAAUUGAAAAUCGAAUCGAACAACUAAAAUUGCUCCAUCAAAUAAAAAAACCGAUAUUGAAAUUUAAAAAAAUCCCGAAAUAUGCCCGGGCCUAGUUGUAAUUAACUCACAUGUUUGGAAUAAGUAUUUCUUACACGCCAGUAGUUUCAAAGGUAAAAAAUAUAUAUUAAAUAAAUCAUACACAUACACUGUACUAACAAAUUUAUUUUUUAUUUGAAUUCUAUAUAAUUUAAUAAGAUACAAUAAUAUUGAUGUAUUCGUUGUACUUUAUGUAUAAUAAAUUUAUCUUUUAUGUGAAUUCAAUGUUAAUUAGAAAGAUACAAUGAUUUUAAUAUAAUCAAAAUUAACCUUCAUUGAAUUUCAAUACAUAACUCUUUAAAAUAAAUAAAUAUUAAUUUAUGAGUAAAUAAUAUUUCUACAAAAUAAUAAUAUUUUAACGUAACUAAGCAUAAAAAUAAAAUAAUUACAAACAUAUACCCCUUUACAUUCAUACACUUACUAAAUACUUACAUUGUAUACCCCCAACUAAUUUAAAAAAUAUUACUUGAAUGACUAUGUGAGAAUUUCGAUUCAAUACUUAAAUUAGGACGUUGAUGCUAAACUUGUUAAUAUGACAAAAAAUAAAUAAAUAACAGGGACAUUCCUAUAUAUAAUCAUUCCACACCCUUCCACCCCUUAAUCAUACUCCCCCACCCUAUCCCACUCGUAUAUUAUUUUUCAUGAAAAAUAUUUUCUUACUUUCGAACGCACUCUGUACCAAAAUACCCUUCAUUGUAUAUGUAAUUUUCAAUCACUUCAAUUAUUAAUGGAGGAUAUAUCAUUUCCAUGGGAAGAAAUGUAUGAUUUUUGAGUGUUUCACAUUUAAACUUUGACUGUUUAAAUUACGUUAAGUUCGAGGCAUAUAUGACUUUAAUCCAUAAUUUCCACCUCAACUUACACAAAUUUAACUAAUCUGCUUAAAUAUGAAUAAUGUUCAUAAUUAUGAUACUAAGAAUAUAAAUAAAAAUAUAAGACCCACUGUCAACAAAAAUUUCUCAUUUUUUUAAAAAAAAACAUACUUAACAAUUGUUUUUUAAUCUUAAUUUCAAAUUUUAAACUUUUAAUCUCGACUUUACCUUUACUGCUAGGACAGGCUUGUUAAUCACACUUUUGACGUGGUCAUUACUUUCCUUUAUUUUUUAUGGAAAUAAUGAAAUCAACUAGUCUAUUAUUUGUGUAAAAUAAUUCUACAUACUUUCUCUUUCAAUCAUGACUUUUUUUUUUCCACACUAUAACAUUAAAAUGUCUCAUUGUGAGUUUUAACGUGUAAUAGAGGGCACAUUUUAACAAUAGAGGCGGAAUCAAAUAAUUGCAAGAAAUUCAUUUGAGUAUCUUUUGGUGAAAAAAUUAUAUUAUAUAUAUGAGGUUAAUUUUUUUUUACGUUAAUUUUUUUUUUGUGAAAAUCAUAUGACCUUGUCACUAUUAUUGACAACCCCUUCCCUUCUAUAGAUACUUAAAUUAUGUCGAUUCGAAUAGCGGGUGUGGAGGAAAAUGAAAUUAAGUUAACGUUGAUAGUCUUAUAAGGACAAAGCAAUAUAUGUGAAUCUGAUUUUAAUCGAAUUAGUGGACGAUAAAUACUUAAUAGUGAAGCUUAAAAAAAACUAAAAACAUAUAGUUGUUUGAUUGAGAUAAAGUGGAUCAUGAAAGGUCGUGGACCACUUUGUUGUGACACUUUUUCGUGGAAAAUUAGAUGGAUAGAUUGGUGGUUUAAUUAUAAUACGUGUGGAGAAUUUUCUUGAUUUUUUAUAUUUUGAUUAUUUUUAAUGAAAAUUCAUGUUUUGCUACUGAUUACCAAAGCCAAAAUAUAAUGUAAUAAGAAAUGAAUUUUGGAAUUUUCCCUACCUAAACCCUUACAAUAAUUAAUAGAGUAAGGAUUGUUCAAAUUCGCAUAAAGAAAAUUUUUCAUUUUUAAUUAACCCCUUUCUGCACGCCAAAUGAAAUUUAAUAAAUCAAAAAUUAGAAUGGAUUUGAGUGUAAUAAAUAUAAUGAUAAAAGAACUUAUCUUAGUCCUAACUCGGCCACAAAAUAGCUCAUGAGGAGACACUGCCCAAGAUCGUAAAGGGAGGGCCUUAUGCAAUGUAACAAUAUUGUAUAAUUAUGUAUAUAUGAUGUAUAACUAUGUAUCAAAGAUGUAUAUACAUCCAUAUACUCUGUUUGUACAAUGUUUAUGCAUUGUAUCUGUUCAUCUUCCUCAACAAUGUGUUUUCUUGAAUCUUAAUUUUAUACGUAUCGUGCCCCAAAGAAAGGGGAAAAAGAACAAAAUUUUUUUUAACACAAAUAAUUGAUUGAAUUCAUUGUUUACUUUCCAUUUUUGAUAUACAUAGAUUAUAUUAUUAAUUAUACACUUAUUAUUCAUGAAUUAAAUACAUAUAUUAUCUAUCCAUCCACUAAUUUUAAUUUCAUUCCUUGGAUUUCCACAUAUAAAAACAAUAUUUUUUUCCAGCAGCCCCUGUUGGUCCUUUGUGCCCCCACAAGUAAUCAGGUGGACUGAAAUGUAGUGCCAAUUAUCUCUAAUAAUUUCUGCAAUUUAAAGGAAUAAAUAGAUAAAUAUGGAUUUCGACAUAUAAAAACACAGCACAAAAUUAAUAAAAGUUUAAGUUGUGUUGGGAUAUUAGGUCUUGGGUCAACUUUUGUUAGUUAAAUGAGUUUGAUGAUUAGAAUACGCCAUAAUUAUUAUGAUCAGUAAUAAUUUAAAAGUUCAAAUGAAAUAUCGAGUCAAAAUUAAGUGUAAUUUUUCGUGGAUUUACAUUUAUCUAAUUAUCUCAUUCGCCAUUUUCUUAUGUCGAUCACCACUGUCCUCUCUCGCUUGCCUCUCUUCCUGUAUCUCUGGUAUACAUGUACUUAAUACGAUUCUCAUGAUGUUUAUGGGGAUGAUUCACAUAUAUCUAGAUAUCUCGGUCGCCUCUCUUCUUUUUUCGCUCGUGUUUCUCAAUUGAAAAUGACAUAAAUAAGUCAAACUUUAAAAGAAUGUCAUAUACGAGCUUUUUCCACAAGUUUAACAACAAAUUUGAGCUUUUUUCCUUAAAGGGAUAAAACGAAAUUAAAUAUAUUAUAGUGGAUGUCAUUUGGAAAAUAAAACCAUAGAAUAUAAUUUUCUGAUACUGGAGAAGUGAUAAUUUUGUUCAUACACAUGUCUUUUUUCCACAAUAAUUUUUCUAGAUGUUGAAUAGGUCAAUAAUAAAACACUAUAAAUAGACAGUUGCUUCAAAGCAGAGAAAUUCAUCAAAUAAAUCAUCACUUGUUGUAUUAGCUAGCCAUGGGAUUAUUGAAAAUCCUUCUUGUUUUCAUCUUCUGUUCUUUCCAAUGGCCUACUAUUCAGAGUAAUCUCGAGACUUAUAUCGUCCAUGUUGAAUCCCCUGAAAGCCUAGUUACUACUCAAUCAUUGUUAACGGAUUUAGGUAGCUAUUACCUUUCUUUUUUGCCUAAAACUGCUACCACAAUUAGUUCGAGUGGAAAUGAAGAGGCUGCUACCAUGAUCUAUUCCUAUCACAAUGUGAUGACAGGGUUUGCAGCAAGAUUAACUGCAGAACAAGUGAAGGAAAUGGAGAAAAAACACGGCUUUGUCUCUGCUCAGAAACAGAGGAUUUUGUCUUUGCACACUACUCAUACUCCAAGUUUUCUUGGUUUGCAGCAGAACAUGGGUGUAUGGAAGGAUUCCAACUAUGGGAAAGGCGUGAUCAUCGGAGUUAUAGACACUGGAAUUAUUCCUGACCAUCCUUCUUUUAGCGAUGUUGGGAUGCCUCCCCCGCCUGCUAAGUGGAAAGGAGUUUGUGAGUCCAAUUUCACCAAUAAGUGUAACAACAAGCUCAUUGGAGCCAGGUCUUACCAACUUGGUAAUGGUUCCCCGAUAGAUAGUAUUGGACAUGGUACACACACAGCAAGCACAGCUGCAGGAGCCUUUGUGAAAGGUGCUAAUGUAUAUGGCAAUGCUGAUGGAACUGCAGUUGGUGUUGCUCCUCUAGCCCAUAUAGCCAUAUAUAAGGUGUGUAAUUCUGUUGGUUGUUCUGAAAGUGAUGUUUUAGCUGCCAUGGAUUCAGCUAUAGAUGAUGGAGUAGAUAUUCUUUCAAUGUCCCUUAGUGGAGGUCCAAUCCCUUUCCAUAGAGACAAUAUUGCUAUCGGGGCGUACAGUGCAACGGAAAGAGGAAUUCUUGUAAGUUGUUCUGCUGGAAAUAGUGGUCCAUCCUUUAUCACAGCAGUAAACACCGCCCCUUGGAUUCUUACGGUAGGUGCCAGCACGCUUGACAGAAAGAUAAAAGCUACUGUUAAGCUUGGAAAUGGAGAGGAAUUUGAAGGAGAAUCUGCUUAUCGUCCAAAGAUUUCCAACGCAACAUUCUUCACUCUAUUUGAUGCUGCAAAAAAUGCAAAAGAUCCAUCCGAAACCCCUUAUUGCAGACGAGGUUCACUCACUGACCCUGCUAUAAGAGGAAAGAUAGUAUUAUGUUCAGCACUCGGCCAUGUAGCCAAUGUUGAUAAAGGACAAGCUGUGAAGGAUGCUGGAGGUGUUGGCAUGAUUAUCAUCAACCCAUCACAAUAUGGUGUCACUAAAUCAGCUGAUGCUCAUGUUCUUCCAGCAUUGGUUGUUUCAGCUGCAGACGGAACAAAAAUUCUUGCUUACAUGAACUCAACAUCAAGCCCUGUUGCUACAAUUGCAUUCCAAGGAACAAUAAUUGGAGACAAAAAUGCUCCUAUGGUUGCUGCAUUUUCCUCAAGAGGACCAAGUAGAGCUAGUCCUGGAAUCUUGAAGCCUGACAUAAUCGGUCCUGGUGCUAAUAUCCUUGCUGCUUGGCCUACCUCCGUGGAUGACAACAAGAACACCAAAUCCACAUUCAAUAUCAUAUCAGGCACCUCAAUGUCUUGCCCUCACCUUAGUGGCGUAGCAGCUCUGCUGAAAUGCACACAUCCUGAUUGGUCUCCUGCUGUUAUUAAGUCUGCAAUGAUGACAACGGCUGACACGUUAAACCUUGCUAAUAGUCCAAUACUCGAUGAAAGGCUCCUUCCUGCUGACAUCUAUGCAAUUGGUGCAGGACAUGUUAAUCCAUCAAGGGCAAAUGAUCCAGGACUAGUUUAUGAUACACCAUUCGAGGACUAUGUACCUUAUUUAUGUGGUUUGAAGUACACAGAUCAACAGGUAGGUAACCUGAUACAACGCAGGGUGAAUUGCUCGGAGGUGAAAAGUAUCCUUGAAGCACAAUUAAACUAUCCUUCGUUUUCCAUAUUUGGACUUGGAUCAACUCCUCAGACAUAUACCAGAACUGUAACCAAUGUUGGUGAUGCUACAUCAUCUUACAAAGUGGAGGUAGCUUCACCAGAAGGCGUUGCCAUCGAAGUUGAACCCUCCGAGCUAAAUUUCUCCGAGUUGAACCAGAAGUUGACAUACCAAGUGACAUUUUCCAAGACAACUAAUAGCUCAAACCCUGAGGUUAUUGAGGGAUUCUUGAAGUGGACUUCUAAUAGGCACUCAGUGAGAAGUCCAAUUGCAGUUGUGUCUGCCUAGUCAAAAAUUGGCUAUAUAAGUGCAUUAAGUACUCGGACAUUUGAAAAUGCUGUUUGUUUAUAUGUUACUUUUUAAUAUUAUAUUAUUAAAUGUAUUGUUUCAAUAAACUUUAUGUUCACAGUUGUUUGAAGAAUGCAAAAGCAUAUCCUCUUUGAUGUUAGUGUCCAUGCACUGCUCAACUUUUCUUCUUGAUUUCAUUGAUAAUAAAUAUUACUUGAGUGAUUAUGUAAGAUUUUCACUCCAUACUUAAAUUUGGGAAAUUUGCUGUCACCCUUUGAUCCAGAAUCUUGACAGUGACUUCAAAAAUAAAGUCUUAGUCUUCGGUGACUUCAAAAAGUAAUUGGGACGUUGAUGCUUUAACUAUAUUAGUAAGACAAGAAAAGUAAUAGAGACAUAUACUAUGAAUUUCCAAGAAAAAACGUUGUAAUUAAUUCGAACGAACUUAAAUUUUUUAACAUAUUGUGGCCAAAUGAGAAAUCUAUAGCCAACUAUACAUGUCAAGUCCAAAUUCUACCAUUGAAGGGGACCAAUGUACAUCAUCCAUGGUACAUAAUUUAUCUUCCAAAGAAAUUAAAUUAACCAAUACAUAUUUGGUUUUGUAAUAAUUUUCACAAAAAAACAAGAAUUACAGAAUGCAUUGUUGCUAUUUGUGUGUGGCCCAUCAUGUAUUGGUAGCAUUUUUUUACUAGUUAAUAGAGUAAGGAUUGUCCAAAUUCGUAUAAAGAUAUCAUCAUUCUUAAUUAGCUCCUUUCUGCAUGCCCGGUGAAAUGGAAUGAAUCAAGAAUUAGGACGACGUAUAUAACUCUAAUAUAAUAAGAAAUGAAUUUGCCCUACCUAAACCCUUACAACUAGUAAAUAGAGUAAGGAUUGUUCAAAUCCGUAUAAAGAGAUAUUCGCAUUCUUAAUUAUCCGUAUAUGAUGUAUAGCUAUGUAUCAGACAUGUAUAAAUAUUCAUAUAUCUCUGUUUGUACAUGCAUUGUAUCUGUUCAUCUUCCUUAACAAUGUGUUUUCUUGAAUCUCAACCAACUCAAAUCUUCUCUAAACACUCCGAAUGGUUUUGUUGUUGCCUAGCUCUUAUUGAAUUGUAUAUCUUUUGCAUAUAAGAAAAAGAUUUGAUUAUGAUAUAGGGACUCAACACUUCACGAUAGCGAAUAAUUUUAUAUGUAUCCUGCCCUAAAAGAAAGAAAAAACAAAAAAACUUUACUCGCCUCUCCUAUUUUACUCGCCUCUCUCCUCUCUCGCUCAUCCCUCUCCUUGUAUCCGGUAUAUAUAUGUUUUUGGUGUGAUUCUCAUAAUGUAUAUGGGGAUGAUUCACAUAUACCACAAUUGAAGGAGAUCAAUCUACAUCAUCCAUAAUUCACGUUUUGUCUUGCAAGUAAAUUAAAGUAACCAACUUUAGUUUUGUUAUUAAUCACACUUAGUGGCAUUUCUUUUGCUAUCUCUUUUAAUAUUCUUGUCCACAUUAUUCUUUUUUUCCCUCUAGCUAAAAUAGAGUGAUGAACAAUUAGGCAUUAUAAAUAGAGAAUUUGCUUUUAGUAGAUCAAAUUGUGAUUUAUUUUUUGAUUUUUGGUUGCUUUCAUUGAAUCUUUUAAUGUAUUUAGUUGAUUUUAAUUCUUAAAUUAAUGUAUACUUGAUUUGUUUCACCUUUACAAUUCAUUACAAUUUUAUCGUGUAUAAUAUAUUCUUUUCAAAUAUUAACUUUUAUACAUAAUCCUAAUUUAUUGUACACAAAUUAGUAUAUAUCGUGUUACUAGUUAUGUAUUGGAUAUACAAAUAUUACAAAUUUCAUUUUCUUUUACUACCAAUACAUACACCCAACUUUAUUCAACUAGUAGAAGACUAUUAUUUCUAGGGAAAAGGGUCCGAUAUACCCUCAACUUUAUCAUUUAGAGCUCAUAUACCCCUUGUUAUGAAAUUGACUCAUAUAUACUCCUACUUGUAAACAAAUGGCUCAAAUAUAUCCUUUUCCUUUAACGGAAAUGAAAAAAAAAUAAUUUUAAUCUAAAUUUUUAUUAUUUUUUUUCUAAAAAAAUAUAAUCCCAUAUAAGUAAAUUUAAUGCUCGUCAAAUAUAUUUUUUUGACUUUUUUUUGUUUCAAUGACUAAUUUAUAAUUAUUCUUUUGAUAAUCAAAUUUAUUUAUGUUUCAUUAAUAUUCUUGUAAAACUUAUUGUAGAUGACCAAAUUUUUUCUUCGAAUACGAAAUUAAAUUACAAAACACACAAAAAAAAUAGUUUAAUUUUUUAUUCUUUAAACUAAGGAAUGAAAGAAAAAGCAAAAUAAGAAUAAGAAAUUCAAAUAAUUAUAAUAAAAGAAGUCAAAAAAUAAUUUAUGUAUGAAAAAAAUUAAAAUAUACUUUGAACUUUGAUAGAAGAAUCAUAUAUACCCCUAAAUUUUUUUUUAAAAAAAAAUUAGAAGUAAUAAAUAUAAAUUUAAAACUAAUUUUUUUAAAUUCGUUAAAUGAAGGGUAUAUGUGAGCCAUUUCGUAAUGGCAGGGGUAUAUGUGAGCCAUUUGUAUAACGGUAUGGGCAUAUAUGAGCCACUUUUAUAACGAGGGGUAUAUCAGCUCCAAAUGACAAAGUUGAGAGGUAUAUCAGACCUUUUUCCCUUAUUUCUAAAAUGAAAGUCUAGAGUUCGCUUGAAUUGACUUAAAAGUUGAUCAAAUCUACUUUUAAAGUCCUGUUUUAUUUUUUAUUUUUGAGAGUUUUGACAAAGCAGAAAAUAACUUAUAAUAAGUUAGAGAUGACUUUAAAAAAAAGUUAAAAAUUACAAGUAGCUACUUCCUUACUUUUCAUUUUUUAACUUAAAAGUUACUAAAGUUUAACUUUUAAAAAAAUAAGGAAAAAAGUCUGAAAUAUAUAUCAACUUUGACCGAAAUUAUAUUAACGAUAUCAAACUUUGGAAAUGACCUUUUACCCCUGUACUAUUUAAUAGUGUAUUUUAAAGGUAUAUAUGUAUCCACGUGAACAUCACAAAUAUUCCAUCAUUAAAAAUAGAAAGUCAUCAUAAAAUUUGAUAUGUAACAAUAAUUUCGACCAAAAUUGAGAUAUUUUUCAGACCCUUUUUUCAAAAAAUACUUUUUAUGACAAGAAAGUACCUGGGAUGUUGAGUCGUUGACGCUAAACUUAUUAUUAAUAUGACAAGAAAAAAUAGUCCUAUGAGUUUCCUGGAAAAUACAUUGUAAUUAAUUCACAUGGGCACUUUUUAUUUUUUUUUAAACAUAUUGUGGCCAACUGAGAAAUUAUAGUUAGGAUUUUAAAUUGGAUUUUUAUUUCAUAUAUCCAUUUAAAAAUAAUUCAAUAUACUCCAUAACUAUAAUUUGAUAAUUACGAUUUGUAGCUAUAUAUAAGAGGGAGGAGAGAGGCGAGCGAGUGAGAUUGGGAGAGGGAGGAGAGAGACGAAUUGUAUAGGUCUAUCUAUCGAACUGUAUAAGUCUAUCUAUUAAAUAAUUAUAUAUUUAUAGCUGGUAUACGCAUGUACUUGUAUAUCUGGUGAGCGAGAUUGGGAGAGAGGCAAGUGAUAGAGGGUAGAGAGUGGAGAGAGACGAACUGUAUCUGUAUAGCUGUCAGAGGCAGAGAAUGGAGAGAGACUAACUGUAUUUGUAUAAUUGUAAUUAUUGUAUAUAUAUAUAUAUAUAUAUAUAUACUAGUUUUCGAAACGUGCGUUGCACGUUUGCCUUAUACAAUUAUUAUAAAGUUGAAUUAUUAUAUAAUGUUGAAAUUAGAAAUAUUAGUUUUACCAAUUUAUAUUUUAUUUAUUAAAUAAAAUUCAUAAUAAUCGAAUAGUACAUUGACCAUCAAACAAGAAUUUUUUUAAAAAUAAAUAUAUUAUUAUAGCAUCUAAUAAUAUGAAUAUAUCUGUAUAACUUAUUCUUAAUAAUCUCUCAUUACUCUCCAUAUUAGUAAGUACACAAAUGUGUAGCUACUUAAAGAAACUAUAUUAGUAAGGAAAGACAAAAGUAAAUAAAUAUUAUAAAAGUAUAUUUAAAAAUGAAUCUAAAUGUCAUAAAUUAGUAAUUUCAGCACUAAUAAAAAUAGCUUAUAACAUUCAUAAUUUCAUAGAAGAUUAUAUUAAAGAAGUAUAAUCGGUAAAGAAUACAAAAAAAAUUAAACAAAUAAGAAUAAAUACAACAUUUAUAUCCUUCUUAAGACUUUUAAUAUAACAAUAUAUAUAGUAAAAGAAAUACACAAGGAGUAAAAAAAUUUUCUCCCGUAACAAAAAAAAAACAAUCUAAAAUAGUAAAGAUAAAAUUUAUGAUUCAAAAUAUCAUUCUAAUGAGGAUCAAUAAAUAUUAAUAUUUCAAAACAAAAAAAAAGUACCUGUAAAUUGCAUAAUAAUUCACAUCAACACGAGGCAAAUGGUAAAGAGCAAUUAUUUUUAAAUGAUACAUAUAUAUAGCUAAAGAUUUAUUGGAUAAGAUGAAAAGGUGAAAAGUUGUUUAAGUUAAUUUUAGAAGUUGAAUGAUCUUACACAUGCGGUAGAGGAAAGGUGAUUGUUUUUACUAAUAAUUCAAUACAUUUAAUUAUACUAAUUACAGAGAGAGGAUAACAAAUUUAAUCAUUUAACCACAUUAAUUAUAGAGAAAGAAUUAAUAACUUUUAUUUAUUUUUUUUAAAAAGUAAUUCCUAACAAUUUUCUAUGAAAUAAUUUCUAACAAUUUUCUAUAAAAUAUUUUUGUCUUUCAAAGUUUGACUUUACACCUUCUUAGUUUUAGUAUAAUAUAAUUAUUACUUAGUAUGUAAAUAAUUAGAAUUUAAACUAUUGUGUCUAGAUGCAUGUAUUUAAAUAUGAUUAUAUAAUAUUAAAUUAAUUAUAUAUUAAUAUUUAAUUUAAUUUAGGGAUAAAAUAAGGACAAAAUGGUAAUUCAACUUUUAAGUUAAGAGCUUCCCACUUAUAAUAAUAAGAGUAUAUGUUAUAUCAUAAAAAAAAUCAUCUAGCAGACUAAGUACAAAUAUGUCAUAAAUAUUUUCUUGGAUAGCUUAAUAUAUAGAGGUUGUGAAUAUAAUCGAAGACAUCUAUAAUCUUUUUCAACACAUCGCAUUAGUACCAAUUUAUACUCUAUCAAUAGUUAUUUCUCCAAACUCAAAAGAGAAUUAAAAAAAAUUAUAAAAAUAUUGAACCAAUGAUUUCUAUAAUCUGGCCAUGAACAAAAUUACACUAAUAACUUAUCUUUUAAGUCUAGCAGGGCACUCUUAUAAUCAAAGGUUCUGAUACCAUCAUUCUGCUAUCGAAAAAGAAAAGCAUAUCAAAGAAAACAUAAGAAUUUUCAGAAUGUUCAUUGAUGUAUUUUUUUUUUGUACCCACAAAAUAAGAAUAUGCAAAAAUGAAACAAAAAGAAAAGAAAUAAUACAUACUUACUGGAGUAUCUCCGAUGAACAUAUGAAAUUAGGAAGAUGGUAGAUUAGAUUUUUGAAUGAUUAACAUAGAAUACACACAAUAUAUUAUAGUAAAUGAGACUCUUUGUUUCCCUUGUCUGUUAUGCCUUUUCAGUUGCAUCAUUUAAAUAUGUCUUCAUUAUUAUAUGAUAGAAUUACUGAAGGCUGAAACUAAUAAUUAUAUAUGGUAAUUAAGAUACUAUAAAUUAAAAGUUUUAUAUUUAAUAUUAAAAAAUAACUCCAAGAAAUUGAACAAAUUACAAAAAAAAAAAUCUCAUUAAAAUAUUUUUCUCACCUAUUAAAGCAUCAAAUUAGAAUUAAGGAAACAUAAAUCAACACAUAUAAACAAAUUAACAAUUAAUUAAUUUAUAAAUAGUCUAAGAGAUAAACUUCAAAAAAUUUAAACUAUUUAAAAAAAAUAAUAACAGGAAAACGUGUCUUUAAGAUAAUUAAACUUUAUUAUAUACUAAUAUUUUACUAAUAACCAAUUAGAUGAUUUUUACUAUUUCAAUGCAAGGACAAGGGUAAGACUUUUCAAAUUUAAAAAUUAAGAGUAAUUAAGUUAAAGACUAUAAAAUAAUUAGCAAUUUAUUUACUAAUAUUUAGUUACUUUGAUUAAGAUUUAGUAUAGGGGCAAAAUAGUAAUUCAACGUUUGCUUAACAUUCUUCCCACUUAUUCACAUUACAUGUUUAUUUUUGCAUGUCUGCUUAACGUCUGAAGCAGGAUCAGUAAGCAAAUCAUAACUCUUGUAAAUUUUAUUGCCUUUAUUCUUCACUUCUUUAGUAAGUGAAACAUGUACAAUCUUACACAAAUUCGUGUUAUUUACUUUCAAGUUGCAGAGUAGGAAAUUACCUUGGAUCUAAAAGAAAUUCCGUUGGAAUAUAAUUGAUUCCUACUCUCAAAUCUGUUGCAGCACCAAGUUCAAUUAUUUUGAACGCGCAACAACCUGCUUCAGAGAGACAUUAAUUACAACUUACAAGUACGCAAUCAAACUCAACCAUUGUGAAUCAGGUCAGCACUUUGUUUUUUAAAUAAUAUGUAUAUCCAUACGCCUAUGCAGUUUAUGACAGAGCACUUUCAGUUGCUGAUCUAAAACCUUGGUAGGAUCAAUCUGAACCUCAAGGUUUACUCAUUUUUUCCCCUUGAUUUGUUGACUUUCAACGUUUAAUUCUUUGUUCGAUGUUAAUUUUUACACAUAUUAGUACACACACAUACUGUUGAAUAGUACAAUAGAAUGUAGGAUUUUCAACAUAGUUUAACUGUCCUUCAAUGUCUUUAACUCCUGCUGUUGUUCUUUGUUAAUGAUCAUAAAAAUUCCGAAAUCACAUUAAGCCAUAUUAUAAUGAAGAGACAGAAUGUGUUUUGGAGAACCAAAACACAAAAAUGAUUGAAAAGAGCAACAGAAUAGAGAAUUGACUCAAACUCUUCUUCUACUGCUUCUUUGUUCCCUAAAACAAACAAAAAAAAACAGAACUGUCAACAACUCCAUUGCACAAUUGCUUUGUGAAAACUCGAAUACUGGCCUCCAUCUCAUUCAUAAAAAGUUUAUAUUUGCAAUUAGCAGCAAAACAGAGCAAAACCAAAGCAUUAACAUCAAAAAUUGACUGUAACUAUUAGGCAACAAAAACAAAGCACCAAAAAUAUUUACCUGUAUACUGACACGCCUUCUCUCGCCACUUCGAAGACCUUUCAUGCAGCGAUGUCCACCAAACUCCUUUUCUGACAAAGAAAACCAGGAAGCUGAAGCAAUGCUGAGUAGUAGAGGUAUUCACGGACUGUCAAUGUUCCAAUAAGAGUAGUUUCUCUGUCAACAAAUCCCAGCAGCCAAAAAGUUCCAUAUCAAAAGGCAGAGCUCAUGAUAAAGAAUAGCUAAGUUCCUCAUCCAAAAAUAUUUACCUGUAUAUCAUCCAGACACAAAAAGAGAAACAAUUUAAUGGACAAUAACAUGUGAUUUGAGACAUUUAUACAGAUGAUGAGAGUAGCUAAAAAGGUUUUGGAAGAAGAUGAUGAAACUUCAUAAUCGUCAGAAGAGAAGUGGAGCAGAUGACCGUUUCUGAAUAAUUAAAUUAGGCUGUUAGGAAAUUAAAUUUAUAAUAAUCAAUAUUAAUAGGUUUAACUAAUAUAGGGUUAAUAGGUUUAACUAAUAUAUUUAAUAAAUUAAUAUAUAAAUGAUAUUGUAGGGUUAAAAUGGUAAAUCAACUUUGGAGUUAAGAGGUUCAUGCUUACAAUAAUACUAGUUUCCGAAAACGUGCGUUGCACGUUUAUCCUAAAAUACUUCGUACAAUGUUUGUAGUGCAAAUAAUAAAUUUAAACAAUAUAUAUAUAUAUAUAUAUAUAUAUAUAUAUAUAUAUAUAUAUAUAUCAAGAAUUAACUAUUAUGCAUUUCAAUCACAUUUGUUACCGACCCAAAGGUAUAUAUGUACAUUUCACAAAUUUCGUCAAUAAUUCAUUUCCUCGUAAAUUUAAAAAAUAAUGAAGUUACAGUGGUUCAUCAACUUAUAAGACACCAUUGGUUCUCUUCAUCUUCAUUUUUAUUCUCUUCAUGUUCAUUUUUUUCUUUCUUUAAUUUUUUUGUUAGUGAGUUGGAUUCACUUGUACAGAAUCACAUCAACUUUUUAUCUUGUAGGAUAUUUAUUGAUUGUCAUGGAUGUAGUGAUAAAGCUAGAAGUCUUUCUUCUUGUCCUUGUGUAAAAGAUUUUUUUUUGGAUAAUCCAAUUAAGUGUACCGUCUCAACUUCUAUAAAAUAAUUUUUAUUUAAAAAUCAAACCAAAAUUUUAUUAAGAACAUAUCAACUUACACAAAAAUAAUUAAUUGCAUAUAAGGAACAAUAAUUUAUUACCUGAAAAUUGAUACCACUUGAAAUAGUUCAAUCUGUGUUGCUUCACUUACUGCAUCAUCACUAUGAAAUAUUAGCGUCAUUUCUUAAUUGUAUCUUCAUAAAAAAAAAGUCAAUUUAAAAAAUUUAUUAGUAGUUGAAAUAUUCAACAAUUUAGAUGAGUUCAAAUAAAGAUAAAUAAAACAUUGAGCAUAACAAACUCAUAUAAAAAAAAUAAAUAAAGAUAACAUGAUUACAUGAGAAAGUAUAAUAUAUAAUAUAGGAAAUGGAGAAUCUGCUAAUAGAAGAUAAAAACGUUACAAAUUAAGUGAUCCAAGAAGUGACAUUUUGAUAUCUUUAGACUAACUGGCUAACACCUUAAUAUGAGUUUUCUUUUUUUUAAAUAAUAACAAUGGUUUAAAGAGCAUAAUAAAAGUAGGUAACUUAAAAGGAUAAAUCAUUAUUGCUUUAUUUUUUAAAUUAUUAAUUCCAAUGCAUGUAUACUUUUUUAUCUAGUAAAAUUUUAUCUAGAAAUUAAUUAUGAAUGCUUUCGCUCUUCCACCUUCCGAGGAUAUUAAAUGGUUUUUAGUGCAUUCAGCUUAUCAAUAAUGAAGAACGAUAAAUUUGCACUUCAAAGCUGAAUUUGGUUUUUAUUAUGUUAUUAAUUUCAGUAAGUAUAAUUUAAUAAUAUCAUAUGAACUAAUAUUUAAAAAUAAUUAACUAUUAUAGGAAUACAAUGGUGAUUCAACUUUGCAUUUUGGAGCUUCACACUUAUACCCAUGAGUGUAUUAUUUCUUAAAAGAUAAUAAAAUAUAUCUAAUUGAGAUUUCUUACUUUGUUUUACUACUAAUUAUGAUACUCCAAUUUUCUGACCUUGCGUCUCAUGUUAGUCUAUGUUGACUCAUUUGAAUAUAUAUAUAUAUAUAUAUAUAAACCUAAAAAAAUUUAACAAGUUAAGUUAGGCUUGCACAAUGUUUAGAGUGUUUAUUGUUUGUAUUUUAAAGAACAAAUAUGUGCUAUAUGUAACAAAUAUUAUGAUAUUUUAUAUUUAAUAUAAUAUUUAUUACGAUUAUAAUUAUAUUUAAUUUUAUCUUUCAUAAAAUUAUAAUAUUAGUAUGCAAUAAAAUAAUUAUUGCUUUUGAAGGCCCUCAAUAUGAUGAUGGGUUGCUAGAAAUUUGAUAUUGAAGAAUGAUAUAUAUAUACAUGUGCAUAUAAGAAUAACCUCUUCUUUAUCUAUAGUAAAUUUAUAAGUGGUUAGAUAUUUAAAAUGUGAUUUCUCGUACUCAGAUAUAAGAUAAUUUCUCAUUAUUUUAAACUGUAAUCCCCUUCUUCACUUUACAAAAUUAAAAAUCGUUUAUGAGUGACACCCCUUCAAUAUUUAUGAUGUCAUAAUGAUCCAACACUUGAAAGCGGUAAAAGUUAUUUAAAACUCUCAUCUGAGGUUGCAGAUUUGUUAAUUUGGAGAAUCAUAGUUAAAGUAUGAAUUUUUAGAAAUUGUUAGAUUAGUUUAAUUUUUAAUUAUAUUUCUAUUUUAUAAAGUUUUUAUUGAACUACUAAUAGAUAUUAAAAUUGAAACACGAUUAUCAUGUUAUGUUUUGUAAGAACUAUAUUUAAUCAAAUUAAAUAAUUAAAAAAUUCUUUAUAAUGAGAUUUAAGAAUAAUAGAAAAUUUCAAAUUGCGCUUUAAAAAAAUAGUUCUUAAUCAUGAGCACAAGCUUAUUAUUUAAAUCACAAAAGACGAUUUUCUCAUUGCCUAAUUAAUAAUUGAUUCCUCAAAUAGAAACUAAAACACAUUAUACAAUCUACAAGUAAUAAUUUUCUUUAAAAUGAAAAUUGUCAGACCAAAAAUAAUAUAACAUGCAACCAAAGCUAAACAAAAUUAAUUAGCAUUGCAUCAAACGGUUGGUUAAAUGUGAUUUAUACUCCUAGCGAUAUAUUAUGUUAACAGUUGAGUAUAUAUAUUAGAUCAAAACAUCUUCAAUUACAAACUUCGAUUGCAAUUUCUUAAUAAUUUUCUUUUGAUCUCAUGACAUGUUAAAAACAACAGAAGAAAAUGAUAUUUAAUAUGAUAACAAUGAAUUUUUUUAAAUAAGAGUAAUUAUACAAAAAAAAAAUUCAUCUAAAGCAUGAAUAUAAUACGGAAAUUAAAAUUGAUUUCAACCUUCGGGAAGACUUGAACAUCCCUUCUGUCGUUGUAAACUCCAUUAGAAGAUCUAACAAUUUGUACACAUUUCUUUUCUAUAAACAACAAAUGAAGAUAAGGAAAAUUAGUAAUCAGUGUUAUGAACAGAAGCUAAAAGUGACUUAAAUAUAUACUAAAGGAUAAAAACAAUAGAAAUAUAGAAUUUUUUUUUUAAUUUCUUCCAAACUGUACCUAAAUAUCUUCAAAGUGUAUAGAUUGUUGUGUCAAAUACCGCAAUUUAUAGGACAUCAUUGAGUAAAAUCAAAAGUCUCAUAAUUAUGCCAUCAACUUCUUGAGAGUGUGGAAAGAUUAUGAAGGUGUGAAUAUUAAUGAUGAGAUAGUGAAGGUGUGGUAUUAAUACACAUUAUGACAAAAUUAAACCUAAAACUGAUCAGAUAGAGAAAUGAAAAGUUUCUCUAAUACAUUUACGUAAUAACUUUAUAAUUAAUUAUUUUUACAACUAUUCAUUCUCCUACUUUAUUUUAACAAUAAGUGAAUCAACUUAAUUAACAAUUUAAGCAUAUUUAAAAUUUAAUUAAUUAAUUAUUUUAUAAUAUUUUAAGUUAGUAUAAGGCUAAAAUGGUAAUUCAAGUGAAUCAACUUAAUUAACAAUUUAAGCAUAUUUAAUAUUUAAUUAAUUAAUUAUUUUAUAAUAUUUUAAUUUAAUAUAAGGUUAAAAUGGUAAUUCAACUUUUAAGUUUUGAGCUUCAUGCUUAUAAUAAUAAUAAUAAUAUAUAUAUAUAUAUAUAUAUAUAUAUAUAUAUAUAUAUAUAUGUAAUUUAUAUUUGUGUAUAUAUAAGUGACAUAAUUACAACUAAAAUUUAGCUGCAUGUCAUAAUUUAUUAGAACUAUAUUAGCUAAUUAACUAGUAUACCUUACUUAUCCGUUCCUUUUUUUUAAAAAUAAUUUGUACAUAUUUUUUUUAUUAGUUUGUUAAAGCAAAUAUACUAUUUGAACAACUAUACAUGUCAAAUGUCCACGCAAGUCCAAUCUCCAUGUAACACGUUUCGUCUUGCAAAGAAAUUAAAUUAACCUAAACUUUAGAUUUGUUUUUAUUUUUUUUUAACUCGAUCAACUCAAAUCUUCUUUGAACCUUCCAAUUUUAUAUAUGAACUCAUCUCAUAUUUCAAGUCUAUUGAUAUAUUAUACGUUCAAGAUAUUUACGUUUGUGACACAUCAAAUUUUAAAAAUUUGAGUUUCAAAGCUCUUUAUAAGUUAAAGUGCUCGGAUGGAUGACUACUAAAAUUGAUUCUUGGAAGAAGGAUCUUGAAUAGAUGCGUGUCUUUGAGAACAUGCAUUGCAAUUUCAUUUAGACAAAAUAUUUGCAACUUUUUAUUACCAAGUGAUUUUACAGUAAAAAAUUUGUAUAUGGAAAGAUGUUCUUUGUAUCCAAAUAUAAUUAAGCAAAUUUACAGAGGAUGGUCUUCUGGAAAAUCUACAAAUUUCAUAGAAUAAAGUUCAGUUUAACUAGUUUAUUCACGCCUAGUGAUUUAUAAAAAUAAACAAGUAAUUAGAGACAACUAAAAACAAUAAAAAAAUUGUAGACAAAUAGUUAGAGACAGUUAGAUUUAUUAAUUUUAACUAUGUUGUCCACAUUAUUCUUUUUCUCCACUAGCUAAAUAAAGUCAUGAGCAAAGAUGAAGUAUAAAUAGACAGUUGCAUCAAAGCAGAAAAAUUCAUCAAAUACAUUAUCACUUCAGCCAUGGGAUUCCUCAAAAUCUUUUUUGUUUUCAUCUUUUGUUCUUUCCCAUGGCCUACUAUUCAGAGUGAUUUCGAAACUUAUAUAGUCCAUGUUGAAUCCCCUGAAAGCCUAAUUACUACUCAAUCGUCGUUCAUGGAUUUAGAGAGCUAUUACCUUUCCUUUUUGCCUGAAACUAUGUCCGCAAUUAGUUCGAGUGGAAAUGAAGAGGCAGCCAGCAUUAUCUAUUCCUAUCACAAUGUGAUGACGGGGUUUGCAGCAAGAUUAACUGCAGAACAAGUGAAGGAAAUGGAGAAAAAACACGGCUUUGUCUCUGCUCAGAAACAGAGGAUUUUGUCCUUGCACACUACUCAUACUCCAAGUUUUCUUGGUUUGCAGCAGAACAAGGGUGUAUGGAAGGAUUCCAACUAUGGGAAAGGCGUGAUCAUCGGAGUUCUAGACACUGGAAUUAUUCCUGACCAUCCUUCUUUUAGCGACGUUGGGAUGCCUUCCCCGCCAGCUAAGUGGAAAGGAGUUUGUAAGUCCAAUUUCACCAACAAGUGUAACAACAAGCUCAUUGGAGCCAGGUCUUACGAACUUGGCAAUGCUUCCCCGAUAGAUAAUGAUGGACAUGGUACACACACAGCAAGCACAGCUGCGGGGGCUUUUGUGAAAGGUGCUAAUGUACAUGGCAAUGCUAAUGGAACUGCAGUUGGUGUUGCUCCUCUUGCCCAUAUAGCCAUAUAUAAGGUAUGUGGUUUCGAUGGAAAGUGUCCUGGCAGUGAUAUUUUAGCUGCCAUGGAUGCAGCUAUAGAUGAUGGAGUAGAUAUUCUUUCAAUCUCCCUUGGUGGAUCUCUGAGCCCUCUUUAUGAUGAAACUAUUGCUCUCGGGGCGUACAGUACAACACAAAGAGGCAUUCUUGUUAGUUGUUCUGCCGGAAAUAGUGGUCCAUCACCUGCCUCAGUAGAUAACUCAGCCCCUUGGAUUCUUACAGUAGGUGCCAGCACGCUUGAUAGAAAGAUAAAAGCUACUGUUAAGCUUGGAAAUGGAGAGGAAUUUGAAGGAGAAUCUGCUUAUCAUCCAAAGACUUCAAACGCAACAUUCUUCACUCUAUUUGAUGCUGCAAAAAAUGCAAAAGAUCCAUCCGAAACACCUUAUUGCAGACGAGGGUCACUCACUGACCCUGCUAUAAGAGGAAAGAUAGUAUUAUGCUUAGCAUUCGGCGGUGUUGCCAAUGUUGAUAAAGGACAAGCUGUGAAGGAUGCUGGAGGUGUUGGCAUGAUUGUCAUCAACCCAUCACAAUAUGGUGUCACUAAAUCAGCUGAUGCUCAUGUUCUUCCAGCAUUGGUUGUUUCAGCUGCAGAUGGAACAAAAAUUCGCGCCUAUACAAACUCAAUAUUAAACCCUGUUGCUACAAUCACAUUCCAAGGAACAAUAAUUGGAGAUAAAAAUGCUCCAAUAGUUGCUGCAUUUUCUUCUCGGGGACCAAAUACAGCUAGUCGUGGAAUCUUGAAACCUGACAUAAUCGGUCCUGGUGUUAAUAUCCUUGCUGCUUGGCCUACCUCCGUGGAUGGCAACAAAAACACCAAAUCCACAUUCAAUAUUAUAUCAGGCACCUCAAUGUCUUGCCCUCACCUUAGUGGCGUAGCAGCUCUGCUGAAGAGCUCACAUCCUGAUUGGUCUCCUGCUGUUAUUAAGUCUGCAAUCAUGACAACCGCUGACACAUUAAACCUUGCCAGUAGUCCAAUACUCGACGAAAGGCUCAGUCCUGCUGAUAUCUAUGCAAUUGGUGCAGGACAUGUUAAUCCAUCAAGGGCAAAUGACCCAGGACUAGUUUAUGAUACCCCAUUUGAGGACUAUCUACCUUAUUUGUGUGGUUUGAACUACACAAAUUCACAGGUAGGUAAAUUGUUGAAACGCAAAGUAAAUUGCUCGGAGGUUGAAAGUAUCCCUGAAGCACAAUUAAACUAUCCUUCAUUUUGCAUAUCGAGACUUGGAUCAACUCCUCAGACAUUCACAAGAACUGUGACCAAUGUUGGUGAUGCCAAAUCAUCUUACACGGUGCAGAUAGCUUCACCUAAAGGCGUUGUCGUGAAAGUUAAGCCCCGCAAGCUAAUUUUCUCGGAGUUGAAGCAGAAGUUAACAUACCAAGUGACAUUUUCCAAGAGAACCAACAGCUCAAAGUCUGGGGUCUUUGAGGGAUUCUUGAAGUGGAAUUCUAACAAGUACUCUGUGAGAAGUCCAAUUGCAGUUGAGUUUGCAUUGGCUACAAAGUAUUCAGACAUUUGAAAAUGCUGUUUGUUUACACAAUUAACUUUAUGUUACUUUUUUCAUAUAUAUUAUUAAAUGUAUUGUUUCAAUAAACUUUACGUUCUCAGCUGAUUGAAGAAUGCAAAAGCAUAUCCUCUUUGAUAUUAGUGACCAUGCCCUGCUCAACCUUUCUUCUUGAUUUCAUUUUUUUCAACAAAUAAAAUGACUUCUCGAGAUAAUAAAUAUUAGUUGAGUGACCGUAAAAGAAUCUCAGUUCAUAAUUAAGCACCCUUUGAUCCAGAAUCUUGACAGUGACUUCAAAAAUAAAGUCUUAGUCUUUGGUGACUUCAAACUUAUUAAUAAGACAAGAAAAAUAAUAGAGACAUAUCCUAUGAAUUUCCUGGAAAAACUGUUACGUUGUAAUGUUACGUAAACCCUUACAACUAGUUAAUAGAGUAAGGUUCGUUCAAAUCCUUAUAUAAAAAAAAAGAUUCUCAUUCUCAAUUAGCCCCUUUCUGCACCCCCAAUGAAAUGGAAUGAAUCAAGAAUUAAAGACAAAUAUGACUAAUAUAAUAAGAAAUGAAUUUGCCCUACCUAAAUCCUUACGAUUAGUUAAUAGAGUAAGGAUUGUUCAAAUCCAUAUGAAGAAGAAUUCAUUCUUAAUACUCGGCCUCAAAAUAACUCACGAGGAGGAGGGGCUUCUUAUGUAAAUGUACACCCGACAAAAAAAACUUUCUUACUAAAAUGGUCGUAGUAUAUGUAAUAUAUCGAUAUUUGUAUGAAUAAUGUAUAAUUAUGUAUAUAUAGUAUUUAUACAUUGUAUCAAUUCAUCUUCCUCAAUAAUGUGUUUUCUUGAAUCUUAAAUUCUUAACCAACUCAAAUCUUCUCUAAUCAUUCCAAACAGUUUUGUUGUUCGCUAGCUCUUAUUGAAUUGUAUAUCUUUUGUAUAUAUAUAUAUAUAUAGAAAAGAUUUGAUUAUGAUAUAGGGACUCAACACUUUAAGAGUUGAUGUUCAUUUGAUUCUCUAAAAAUAUGAAAUAGUGACACUUUCUUUAAGCAAAAGGAUAAAUUAUAAAAUCAAAUUAAAGAGGAUUGAUCGAAGAAUAACAUUAACUUGUUGAUGCUUAGCUUAUUCAUAUGAUGACCAAAAAAAAAAAAAAACUUCGAAUUUCCUGCAAAAGACGUUGUAAUUAAUUCACAUGGAUAUUUUUUAUUAACAUAUUGUGGCCAAAUAGACUUACUAACACAAAUAUAAUAUAAUAGUACUAAAUUAAUAUUCGGUAUAUUAAUAGUUUAUCCAAGACAAUAGGUUUUUUCAUGUCUUGAUUUGUGUCAAUGAAAAAAAUCACUCAUUUCAAUAUGAUAAUAUGACAAUAUAUUUUCAGAAGACCCUAUAUAAAUAUACUAUCCCACUAAUAUUAUCUUUAAAAAUAUGAAUAUAUCUAAGAUAAUUUAAGUGAAAUGUGAUUUUAUUAUCUUUCUUACAAAUUUAAAUCUAGUUAAAUUCAUGUCUAAUUUUUUUAUUGCAUCCAAAAAUUCUAGUGUUGUCACGACUACAAAUUAUCUUCCUGAGUGCGCCUCCUAUGUUGACACAUUUUAAAUGAGAAACCAUUUAUGCAUAUGGUUACAAAAAUUUCCUAUGUUGCUUAUAUAAUUUAUUCUCUCAUCAUCGUACAUUGAAUAUUUCUUGUGAAGAUACAUUGAAUAAUAUUUUGUUAUUAAGAAACAAUGACCAUUAUAUAUAGUGAAUUUGUUUUUACGAUGAAUCACUGAAUUUUUGAAUUUAUUUUAUAAUGAAUCAUUAAAAAAAAAUAUAUAUAUUACCGUGAUUCAUACAUAUACAUUGUACUUUGUGUAUAAUGAUUUUUUUUUAAAUAUAAGUUCAAUAAAUAUAAUGUAUAAUUUAGUAAGAUAUAAUGAUUUUGAUAUAUUCACUGUACUUACUAUAUAUAAUAAAUUUAUUUCUUAUGUGAAUUCAAUAAAUAUGAUACAUAAAUUAAUAAGAUAUAAUUAUUUUAAUGUAAUCAAAGUUGACCUUCAUUGAAUCUCAAAAACACUCUUUAAUUAAUAAAUAUUAAUUUAUGAAUUAAAUAAUACCUUUGUAGAAUAACAAUAUUUUAUGAUCUCACAUAUAUUAAUUUAAUGAGAUUUUAAGGUAUGCGAGCAAAAUCUACUAAAUUCGAUCAAAUCUGCGUGCAGGUUACUAGCUCUACCCUUCACGUUAUACCAACUAUAUAUGUCAAAUGUCCACGCAAGUCCAAUUGAAGGAGAGCAAUGUACAUCAUCCAUCAUUCACGUUUUGUCUUGCAAAUAAAUUAAAUUAACCAAUUUUUAUUUUAGUAUUUAAAAUUAACCAAUUUUAGUUUUAUAAUUAAUAUUUUUAAUCUCGACCAACUGAAAUCUCCUAUGAGCACCUCGAAUUUUAAAUUUGAGCUCCUCUCAAUAUUUCAAGACUAUUAAUAUAUUAUUCGUUCAAAAUAAUUGAUGACUAUUGAAAUUAAUUCUCGGAAAAGGAUCUUGAAUAGUUACAUGUUCAUGCAUUGCAACUUUAUUUAGACAUAAUAUUUGCAACUUUUUAUUACAAAGUGAUUUAACAGUUAAAAUUUGUAUGGUAAAAAGAUGUUCAUAUAAUUAAGCAAAUUUACAGUGGAAAGUCUUUUGGAAAAUCUACAAAUUCAUAGAAUAAAGUUCAAUGUAACUUUAGUUUCAUUCACUCUUAGUGGCCUUUCUUUUCUUUUCCUUUAAGUAUUAAUUUUAAUUUUCUUGUCCACAUUAUUCUUUUUUUCCACUUGGAAUAAAAUAAUGUCAUGAGCAAAGAUGAAGUAUAAAUAGACAGUUGCAUCAAAGCAGAAAAAUUCAUCAAAUACAUUAUCGCUUCAGCCAUGGGAUUCUUCAAAGUCCUUCUUGUUCUCAUCUUUUGUUCUUUCCCAUGGCCGACUAUUCAGAGUGGUCUCGAGAUUUAUAUAGUCCAUGUUGAAUCCCCUGAAAGCCUGAUUUCUACUAAAUCAUCGUUAACGGAUCUAGACAGCUAUUACCAUUCUUUUUUGCCUAAAACUACUACCGCAAUUAGCUCGAGUGGAAAUGAAGAGGCUGCUACCAUGAUCUAUUCCUAUCACAAUGUGAUGAAAGGAUUUGCAGCAAGAUUAACAGAAUCUCAUGUGAAGGAAAUGGAGAAGAAACGAGGCUUUGUUUCCGCUCAGAAACAGAGGAUUUUGUCCUUGGAUACUACUCAUACUCCAAGUUUUCUUGGUUUGCAGCAGAACAUGGGUGUAUGGAAGGAUUCCAACUAUGGAGAAGGCGUGAUCAUCGGAGUUAUAGACACUGGAAUUCUUCCUGACCAUCCUUCGUUUAGUGAUGUUGGAAUGCCUCCUCCGCCUGCUAAAUGGAAAGGAGUUUGUGAGUCCAACUUCAUCAACAAGUGUAACAACAAGCUCAUAGGAGCGAGGUCUUACCAUCUUGGCAAUGGUUCCCCGAUAGAUGGUAAUGGGCAUGGUACACACACAGCAAGCACAGCUGCGGGAGCUUUUGUGAAAGGUGCUAAUGUAUAUGGCAAUGCUAAUGGAACUGCAGUUGGUGUUGCCCCUCUUGCCCACAUAGCUGUAUAUAAGGUAUGUAGUUCUGAUGGCGGUUGUUCUGACAGUGAUAUUUUAGCUGCCAUGGAUUCAGCUAUAGAUGAUGGAGUAGAUAUUCUUUCUAUAUCCAUUGGUGGAUCUCCCAACUCUUUCUAUGAUGACCCUAUUGCUCUUGGGGCAUACAGUGCAACGGCAAGAGGUGUUUUUGUAAGUUGUUCUGCAGGUAAUAGAGGCCCUUUGCUUGCCUCAGUUGGAAAUGCAGCCCCUUGGAUUCUUACAGUAGGUGCCAGCACGCUUGAUAGAAAGAUAAAAGCUACUGUUAAGCUUGGAAAUGGAGAGGAAUUCGAAGGAGAAUCUGCUUAUCGUCCACAGAUUUCCAACUCAACAUUCUUCACUCUAUUUGAUGCUGCAAAACAUGCAAAAGAUCCAUCGGAAACCCCUUAUUGCAAACCAGGGUCACUCAAGGGCCCUGUUAUAAGAGGAAAGAUAGUAUUAUGUCUAGCAGGCGGUGGCGUCUCCAGUGUUGCUAAAGGAAAAGUUGUGAAGGAUGCUGGAGGUGUUGGCAUGAUUGUCAUCAAAACAUCACAAUAUGGUGUCACUAAAACAGCUGAUGCUCAUGUUCUUCCAGCAUUGGAUAUUUCAGAUGCAGAUGGAUUAAGAAUUCGUGCCUAUACAAACUCAAUAUUAAACCCUGUUGCUACAAUCACAUUCCAAGGAACAACAAUUGGAGAUGAAAAUGCUCCAAUAGUUGCUGCAUUUUCUUCUCGGGGACCAAGUAGAGCUAGUCCUGGAAUCUUGAAACCUGACAUAAUCGGUCCUGGUGUUAACAUCCUUGCUGCUUGGCCUACACCCGUGGAUGACGACAAAAACACCAAAUCCACAUUCAAUAUUAUAUCAGGCACCUCAAUGUCUUGCCCUCACCUUAGUGGUGUAGCAGCUCUGCUGAAGAGCGCACAUCCUGAUUGGUCUCCUGCUGUUAUUAAGUCUGCAAUCAUGACAACGGCUGACACGUUAAACCUUGCCAAUAGUCCAAUACUAGACGAAAGGCUCCUUCCUGCUGACAUUUUUACCACUGGUGCAGGACAUGUUAAUCCAUCGAGGGCAAAUGAUCCAGGACUAGUUUAUGAUACCCCAUUUGAGGACUAUGUACCUUAUUUUUGUGGUUUAAACUAUACCAAUCGAGAGGUAGGUAAAAUGUUACAACGUCAGGUGAAUUGUUUGAAGGUGAAAAGUAUCCCUGAAGCACAAUUAAACUAUCCUUCAUUUUCCAUAUUCAGACUUGGAUCAACUCCUCAAACAUAUACCAGAACUGUGACCAACGUUGGUGACGCAACAUCAUCUUACAAAGUGGAGGUAGCUUCACCAAAAGGCGUUGCCGUGGAAGUUAAGCCCACAGAGCUCAAUUUCUCUGAGUUGAACCAGAAGUUAACAUACCAAGUGACAUUUUCCAAAAGAACCAACAGCUCAAACUUUGUGAUUGUUGAUGGAUUCUUGAAAUGGACUUCUAAUAGGCACUCAGUGAGAAGUCCAAUUGCAGUUGUGUUAGCCUAAUCAAAAAUUGGCUUUAUAAGUGCAUAAGGACAUUUGAUUGUAGUGAAAAUGCUGUUUGUUUUCACAAUAUAUUUUAUGUUACUUUUACAUUAUUAAUUGUAUAUUUACAGCUGAUUGAAAAAUACAAAAGAAUAUCCUCUUUGAUUAAUGCACAUUAAUUUCUAUUAGUGGCCAUGCCCUGCUCAACUUUUCUUCUUCAACUAGACAAUAGCAAGCACGAGCCUUAGGUAAAUAAAUAUGAUUAUAAUUCAAUUAAUUUAAAUAAUAAUUAUUAAAUUGAAUUCAUUUAAUUUGAAUAUGAUUUGUUAUAGUUCUAUAAUUUGAAUUUAAGUCAAUGGGUUGAUGAGUGCUUAAUCUUUCAUAAAAUGAAGGGUUCAAAUUUUAGUAGCGUUUUAUUCUUAACAUUAAUUACUUCUAAAUUAUUUUCCAAGAAUUAAUACUUGUUAGAAACAAUAAUUGGAAAUGUGAUUGACGAAGAAGAGACAUUCAUCGUAUACAUAUUGGAAAAUACAAACAAAUCCCUCUUCGAUACAAUAAAAUCCUAUAUUUAUACAUGCAAUUUUUUCUUAUACUACUUAUAGAGAGUCUUUAUUAUAUUUGUAGAAUUUAAGAGAUGACUUUUCAUAAGAGUCAUGUUUUUUCAUGAAUAUAUGACUUUUCAUAAUAGUCAUGUCCUUUCAUGAUCAGAUGAUUUUCAUAAGAAUCAUGUUCUUUCAUGAUGUGUCAAUUUAAUAUAAAAAUUCUACAUUACAAAAAAUUCAACAAUACUAACAUCAAUUAUUAGGAUUAUUAAUGUGGUAAAAUAGUAUUAGAAAAAAUAAUCUUCAAUAGUCAUAUCAAGCAUUGUUUUCUUAAUAGAUAUGUCAAGUUCAAAUGUGAUAAAUGAAAAGUAGAUUAAACUAAAAAGUAUUAAAAGAGUUAAAAGAUUUAAAUUAAUAAAUACACUCUUUUUGUUUAGGAUUUUUUUAAAAGUGUGUAAAUAAAAUAUAAACUAAUAAUAUGAAGGAAUAGAUUCAUUAAUAAUUGUGCACAGAUAAUUUCUCUCUUAAUAUUAUGCACAUAUGGAAUAAACCAAAAAAAAAAAGUUUUAAAAUAUAACAACUAAUCAUGAAAUGACAAAGCACACAUUUUGAUACCUCAAAUUUAAACUCACUCUUCUAUUAUAGUAAAUUUCAUUAUUUUCAACAAAUAAAGUUCUUAGUCUUUGGUGACUUCGAAAAUUAAUUAGAACAUUAAUGCUUAACUUUAUCAAUAAGACAGGAAAAAUAAUAGAGACAAUAUCCUAUGAAUUUUCCUAGGAAAAACAUUUGUAAUAAUUCAAAUGAAAUGUUGCUAUUCGUGUGUUGCCCCUCAUGUACUAGUGGCAUUAUUUUAUACUUUUAGAAAUAAAUUUGCACUGCCUAAACCCUUACUACUACUUAAUAGAGAAGGAUUGUUCAAAUGCGUAUAAUAAAUAUUCUUAUUCUUAAUUAUCCUUUUUUUGUACGAUCAGUGAAAUGGAAUGAAUCAAGAAUUAGGACGAAUAUGAUUCUAAUGUAAUAAGAAAUGAAUUUUGGAAUUUUCCCUACCUAAACCCUUACAAUAAUUGAUAGAGUAAGGAUAGUUCAAAUUCGCAUAAAAAAAUAUUUUUUUUCUUAAUUAACUCCUUUCUGCACGCUAAAUGAAAUUGAAUGAAUAAAAAGUAUGAAUGGAUUUGACUCAAUAUCAUAAUAAUAAUAAUAAUAAUAAUAAUAAUAAUAAUAAUAAAAACUUAACUUAGUCCUAAAUCGACCUCAAAAUAGCUCAUUAAGAGUCACUGCCCAAGAUCGUAAGGGAGGGCUUCAUGCAAUGUAUCAAUCUUGUAUAAUUAUGUAUAUAUGAUGUAUAACUAUGUAUCAGAGAUGUAUAUACAUCCAUAUACUCUGUUUGUACAAUGUUUAUGCAUUGUAGUUCAUCUUCCUCAACAAUGUGUUUUCUUGAAUCUCAACCAAUUCAAAUCUUCUCUAAAUAUGACUCAACACUUUAUGAACGUGCAUAAUUUUAUGCAUAUCGUGCCUCUACGGUAUACAAAAACGAACAGAAAACCGAACCAAAUCGCAAAUCGAGUUAACCCCCCAAAAAAACCCGAUUAGUGGUUUGGAAUUGAAAAAAAAAAUUGACUGUAUUUGGUUUUAACUAGAAAAAAUCAACUCGACAUUAUAUAUGUUAUUUUAAAUUUAUUUUAUGUAUAAAAAUAUUUACUUUGAUAUGAUUUUAAAAUAUUUUUUGUAUUUUUUCAUAAUUUUAUAAAUUUAAUAUACUUAGAAUUUGAAAUGUCCAACAACUAUUAUAGUUCAUAGAUGUUGAUAAUUAUAAUAAUACUUAAAUCAUAAUUAAAUUUAUAAUAAUGCAAAAAGAAAAUCAAUUCAACACUAAGAAUGACAAUAAUAUUGAAAAUUUGUUCUUUAGUUUUACAUUAGUUUAGAUAAUUAACAUACAUAGUUAAUUCUAAUUUUUCUUAAAUAGUUAGUAAUGUAACUAAUACUUAUUAAACUUAUUUUAACAUGAUUUAAUACUUUCAAAUUACGAUCAUUUUCAUUAUGACUUUACAAUAUUUAUUUUGUAUGAUGAUUUCAUUAUUAUUUAAUGUAAUAUUUUUGAGUCAUCAAUACUCCUCUCAUGUUUUGUAUAUUUUUUUUAAGAAACACCUUAGAUAAUAGUACUUUGGUUGGACUAAAGAAAAAUCUGAAGCACAAGUUAAUUAUAUGUUUGUAUGUAAACUUUACCGAAAAAUUCAAAAAACUGAAAAAAGUUCAAGGUUUAUUAUUUGGUCUGAUUUAUAAAUUUAAAAAUUCGCCACAAUGAUUUCGUUUGAUAUUUGUAAAAGCCGAACCAAUCCGAGGUUGAAAAACUCAAAAUAUUCAAAUUUUAUAAGUUUGGUUUGGUUUAUAAAUUUAAAAUUUUUAUACAAAUGAUUUAGUUUGGUAUUUGAAAAACCCGAACCAACACAAUCAUGUACACCCCUACGUGCCCCAAAGAAAGGAAAAACAAAUAAUUAUUUUUAACACAAAGAAUUGAUUGAAUUCGUUGUGUACUUUCCUUUUUUGAUAUACAUAGAUUAUAUAUUAAUUAUACACUUAUUAUUCAUGAAUUAAAUACAUACUCACUUCGUCCUAAUUUAUGUGACAUUGUUUCCUUUUUAGUCAGUGUCAAAAAGAAUGUCACAUUUCCUUAUAUGAUACGACAAGUAUUUAAAGGUACAAUUUCUCUUUUAUCUUUAUUGGUCCUGCUUAAUUUUAAAUAAUACUCUAAUACAUUUAUGAAGAGACAGAAACGUCAAUUCACUUUUGAAGGACAAUAUGGUAAACAAUUCAAAAAGUCUUCAUGUUGAAUGCCUUGAAUUGAGCCUUAGUUAUCUGUCAAUUAUGUAUUUUGGGCCCAAGCCUGUUAGGGCGUAGCUUAGCACUAUAUAUAGACGCUAUGACAAACCCUAUUCUGUAAUUCUGUUUUUGCCUUUCCGUAAUAAAACUGCUCCCCUCUUUCCGUGGACGUAGCCAACUUAUUGGUGAACCACGUAAAUCUGUUGUCUUGUUUUUCGCGUUUAUAUUUUCUCGUAUUAUCUCGAAUUCCGCAUAAUAAAUUGGUAUCAGAGCCUCCCGGUUAAUCGGUGUUCUUGGAGAAUUUCGAGAUGUCUGCUUUGAACGUGAGGUAUCAUUUUCUGAGAAGUGAGAAGAGAAUCAAGGUGAAGAAAGUAGGAACUGCUGAUAAUCUUGCUGAUAUGUUCACAAAGCCGGUUCCACAGAGCAAGUUUCAACACUGUUUGGACUUGCUCAACAUCAGAAGCUGUUAAUUGCCCUGCGGGGCAAUUCUGAGGAAGAGGGGGAGGCCUGGCACUAUCAUAGUGCGUCUGAAGAAUCUGUUUGGAGAAUUCAAGUCAAGGUGGAGAUUUGUUGAAUGCCUUGAAUUGAGCCCUUAGUUAUCUGUCAAUUAUGUAUUUUGGGCCCAAGCCUGUUAGGGCAUAGCUUAGCACUAUAUAUAGACGCUAUGACAAACCCUAUUCUGUAAUUCUAUUUUUGCCUUUCCAUAAUAAAACUGCUCCCCUCUUUCCGUGGACGUAGCCAACUUAUUGGUGAACCACGUAAAUCUAUUGUCUUGUUUUUCGCGUUUAUAUUUUCUCGUAUUAUCUCGAAUUUCGCACAACAUUUCAUUUAUUUUUUGAACUAUGUGUCAGGUCAAAUAAUGUCAUAUAAAAUGGGACGAAUGUGAGUAUAUUAUAUAUCUAUCCACUAUCAGUUUUAUUCCUUGGAUUUCCACAUGUAAAGACAAUAUUUUUUUCUAGCAGCCCCUGUUGGUCCUUUGGUGCCCCCACAAGUAAUCAAGUGGACUGAAAUGUAGUGCCAAUUUUCUCUAGGAAUUUCUGCAGUAAUUCAAAGGAAUAAAUAGAUAAAUAUGGAUUUCCACAUAUAAAAACACAACACAAAAUAAAUAAAAGUUUAAGUUGUGUUGGGAUAUUAAGUCUUGGGUCAACUUUUGUUAGGUAAAUGAGUUUGAUGAUUAGUAUACGCCAAUUAUACGAGAAAUUAUUAUGAUAAUAAUAGUUUAGAAGUUCAAAUAAUAUAUGAAGUUAAAAUUUAAAUUAAGUGUAAUUUUCUAUCGAUUGACAUGUAUGUGAUUAUCUCACUCGCCUCUUUCUUAUCUCCUGUAGACAUGUAGUUAAUACGAUUUUCAUGAUGUUUAUGGGGAUGAGUCACAUAUAUUUGGGUAUUUCGGUCGCCUCUUUCUUUUUUUCGCUCGUAUUUCUCACUAUUUUUUUUAUUUGGUAGCAAAAAUACAUAUAUAUAUAUAUAUAUAUAUAUAUAUAUAGAUUAGUGUAUCUGACUUAAUAUCUGUAAUGAAACUGUAAAUUAGUGAAACUAUAUAUACAUAAUUAUUUCAAACUAUAAAGAAAACUAGUAAAUAUUAUAGAAAUAUUUAUGUAAUUAGAUAAUUUCAGUUUUAUUUCUCGGAUGGUUCUCGCAUUAGAAAGUACCUACUUUCACCUUGGUAUACCUCUAUUGAAUGUGGCAUGUUUCUAAUGUUCUUUUAUCACAUUCAAGUGCAUCGAUGUGCCUUUUCUCAAUCGAAAAUGACAUAGAUAAUUCAAACUUUUAACAGAUGUUAUAAAAUGAGCUUUUUUCCUAAAGUUCAUUAACAAAUUUGAGCGAUUUUCCUUUUAGGGAUAAAAGAAAUUAAAGAAGAAUAAUACUAAUACUUUUCACUAUUUUACACUUAUUAUUCAUAGACUAGGUACAUAUAUUAUAUAUCUGCAAAUUUUAGUUUUAAAUCCUUGAAUGGAUGUUUACUCUUCCAAGAAGGAUCCGAAAUAGCUGCAUGUUUUCGAACACUUGCAACUUUUUUUAUAACAAAGUGAUUGUUUAACAUUAAAUAUAUUAUAGUGGAUGUCAUUUGGAAAAUAAAACUAUAGAAUAUAAUUUUCUGACACUAGAAGUGAUAAUUUUGUUCAUACACAUGGUCUUUUUUCCACAAUAAUUUUUCUAGAAGUUGAAUAGGUCAAUAAUAAAACACUAUAAAUAGAGAGUUGCUUCAAAAGCAGAAAAAUUCAUCAAAUACACUGUCCAAAUACAUCAGCACUUCUUAUAUUUGCAGCCAUGGGAUUCUUGAAAAUCCUUUUUGUUUUCAUCUUUUGUUCAUUCCCAUGGCCUACUAUUCAGAGUAAUCUCGAGACUUAUAUCGUCCAUGUUGAAUCCCCUGAAAGCCUAAUUACUGCUCAAUCAUCGUUAAUGGAUUUAGAUAGCUAUUACCUUUCUUUUUUGCCUAAAACUACUACCGCAAUUAGCUCUAGUGGAAAUGAAGAGGCUGCUACAAUGAUCUAUUCUUAUCACAAUGUGAUGACAGGGUUUGCAGCAAGAUUAACUGCAGAACAAGUGAAGGAAAUGGAGAAAAAACACGGCUUUGUCUCUGCUCAGAAACAGAGGAUUUUGUCUUUGCACACUACUCAUACUCCAAGUUUUCUUGGUUUGCAGCAGAACAUGGGCUUGUGGAAAGAUUCCAAUUUUGGAGAAGGCGUGAUCAUCGGAGUUCUAGACACUGGAAUUCUUCCUGAUCAUCCUUCAUUUAGCGAUGUUGGGAUGCCUCCCCCGCCUGCUAAGUGGAAAGGAGUUUGUGAGCCCAAUUUCACCAACAAGUGUAACAACAAGCUCAUUGGAGCCAGGUCUUACAAACUUGGCAAUGGUUCCCCGAUAGACGAUGAUGGACAUGGUACACACACAGCAAGCAC